UCCGUUAAAUUGAGUCGUUAAGAAUGUCAGAUCUGAGUGCCAGUGCGAUAUCCAAGACAAAAGAAAGGGGCAAUUUAGGAAGUUUGACAUCCAUCUUCUUCUUCUUAUUCUAUAAACCUAAAGAAGGAAUAACCAUGAAAUUACAAAAUCUGCUACUGCUGCAACGAUGGAGAAGGAAAUGGAAGAAGCCCAACUUGAGUUAGAGGAAGUAGGAGCAAGCUACCCCCUCUGUCUUUGCCACUAUACACAACCUCCAUCCUUCAAUCUAUUCAUCAAUCGUGUACUUCUAUCUCAAUGGUUUCAACCAGUCCUCCUUCUCCUGAAGGCAGAAUCAGCCAAGCAACAGUCAUAAAAAGCAGUAAAAGCUCUUACAAAAUGAAAAAAACUCCACCCUAGAACAACCUGCCAUAAACCAGCUGCAGGAAAAAAAGAAAAGUAAGAAUUUCUUGAAGAUGAAAAUGGUAAUGAAGAAGAAGGUUUUAUUUACCUCUUCUUGACCCUCAAGAAAAUUCCACCGAAAGAUUCAUCCAAAAUACCCCACAAAAUUUCACUUCCAAACCUGCUUUACUCUCUGGCUGACGACAAUCUCAACCUUUGCUUGAUUAUAAAUGACCGGCCCAUCAAAUCCCCGUAUAGAAUUAUUGCAAAAUUCGCUUAAAAGAAGGUGAAGUCUGAGGAUAUUUCCAUUGAUAUGGUCGUCAAGCUAUCCAAGUUGAAAUUAGAUUGCAAGACUCUAGAGGGAAGGCGAAAGAUGUAUCAAUCAUACGAUAUGUUUUUUGCGGAUAAAAGGGAUGUUUCGUUGCUUCAAGUGUUUUAGGGAAGCAUUUUUAUAAGAAGAAGAGAAAAAUUUCAGUGUCGUUGGAUUUGAGUAGGGAUAAUUGGAAAGAGCAGAUUGAGACGG
RNAcentral lists this long non-coding RNA (901 nucleotides) under Coffea arabica (coffee). RNAcentral describes it as "long non-coding RNA (CARA_LNC004017)". The record is from RNAcentral. Lineage: Eukaryota; Viridiplantae; Streptophyta; Magnoliopsida; Gentianales; Rubiaceae.